RNAcentral lists this ribosomal RNA (964 nucleotides) under uncultured marine bacterium. RNAcentral's name for it is "bacterial SSU rRNA". It matches the Rfam family "Bacterial small subunit ribosomal RNA", at positions 51 to 1019 of the family's 1533-position model. The record is from RNAcentral.
AUGCAUGCAAGUCGAGCGAAGCUUUUCAGUAGUUUACUACAGAAAAUGACUGAGCGGCGAACGGGUGAGUAACGCGUGAGCAAUCUACCUUAGUUACAGGGAUAGCCCGAGGAAACUCGGAUUAAUACCUGAUAUUCUUUAAAUUUCGCAUGAAAUUAAAAGGAAAGGUCAGCCGAACUAAGAUGAGCUCGCGUUCUAUCAGCUAGUUGGUGAGGUAAAAGCUCACCAAGGCAACGACGGAUAGCUGGUCUGAGAGGACGAUCAGCCACACUGGGACUGAGACACGGCCCAGACUCCUACGGGAGGCUGCAGCAGGGAAUAUUGCGCAAUGAGCGAAAGCUUGACGCAGCGACACCGCGUGUGGGAUGACGGAUCUAGGUUUGUAAACCACUUUCAGGAGGGAAGAAAAUGACGGUACCUCCACAAGAAGCCCCGGCCAACUACGUGCCAGCAGCCGCGGUAAUACGUAGGGGGCGAGCGUUGUCCGGAUUUAUUGGGCGUAAAGAGCUCGUAGGCGGUUCAACAAGUCGGUCGCAAAAGUUCAGGGCUCAACCCUGAAAUGUCGAUCGAUACUGUUGUGACUAGGAUACGGUAGAGGUGAGUGGAAUUCCGAGUGUAGCGGUGAAAUGCGUAGAUAUUCGGAGGAACACCAAUUGCGAAGGCAGCUCACUGGGCCGCUAUCGACGCUGAGGAGCGAAAGCUAGGGGAGCAAACAGGAUUAGAUACCCUGGUAGUCCUAGCUGUAAACGAUGGAUACUAGACGUAGGAACUGGAUUGACGGUUUCUGUGUCGUAGCUAACGCGUUAAGUAUCCCGCCUGGGGAGUACGGUCGCAAGACUAAAACUCAAGGAAUUGACGGGACCCCGCACAAGCGGCGGAGCAUGCGGCUUAAUUCGAUGAUACCCCGUAGAACCUUACCUGGACUUGACAUAUAGGGUCAAGCUAUAGAGAUAUAGUGUGCAUU